ACAGGCCUGAGACACCGCGCCCAGCCAAGUCACGUGUUUUAUGAAGAAUUAGGAAACAUUAAUUUGAAUCCUGACUUUAUUACCAGCUAGCUGGGUUGCCUUGAGCAAGUCAAAGCCAAGUCAAUUUUUUGGUUUGUUAGCUGUACAUAUAAAUACAGAUUAUAAUAGCUAUUACUUAUUGAAAAACUCCUGUGUAUCAGGGAUUGUAUGUAUGUUACUCACAAAUACUAUAGUAACAGUGUCAGAUAGACACUAUUUUCAUUAUACAGAUCAAAAUGGUGAGACUCAGAGAAAUUAGGUGUAACAUCCGAGGUCAUAUGGUAACUGCAGGACAGGGUCGUGAUUUGAAGCCAAGCUUGUCUGACUCACAAGCCUGGGCUAUUUGCCUUUAAAGUGAGGGGUUAUGUAAGGCAUUCUCUAAUUGGGUCAUCCUGGAAAUACAGACUGAGUAUGUGAUUUCCACAGAACAAGGCAGGCAGAAGGCCCUCCUCCUCUACACCUCAGAGGGUUCUGAAUGAAGAUUGUGCCAAUUAAAAGGUGCCCUGGUUGGCCACAAAGCCCAGAACUAGAAAUAGAAGGAACACAAUGGAAACACCAGCUGUCGGAAGCUGCAGCAGGACCUCAAGAAUGAUGCUGCAAACAUCUAAUGAGAAAUAGAAAACUUCUUACAAGUCCCAUAACUAAUGUCGAUGAGACAAUGCUGAAGACGAGCCUGAAUUUAAUAAAUCUUUUAAUAUUUCCACAGCUGGGCCUGCUUACUCGGGGCUGGUGGACCAUUUUCUUAAAUAAGGCAUGGCGCUGGUCUGACAUUAGUUUAACAAGAUCUUCAGAAUGAUAAUUAGUGUCAUCAUUGUCAAGUUCAAGUUCUCCUGACUUGUUGAAAAGCCAAAAAUACAUAUUGUGACAGGGAAGUUCCCAUCAAAGAGUAGUAAGGAGAAUACCAAUUGGGAAAGGACAACUUCAUAAAAAUAAACAAGUAUGGCAUAAUGGUUUGUGAAGCUGAUUCUUCUGGAAUGAAUAAUAAAAGCAAAAUACAUGAAGGCACCCAGUUCUGUAAGCUCCUAAAUUCAAAUACUCCAAUAUGAUUACCUUGAUUAAACAAUAAAUAAAACAUACCCUGAUGGGUAAUUUUGUCAUGGAGCCUCUACAUUCUUAAUGAAAUCCAUCUGAACAUUGCUUAAUACAGUCGUAGAAGAGUGCUAAUUUAACCUGACUUCAACAAAUGCUUUAUUUUACCUCAUCUACAUAAAUAAGGUGUGUUCACAGUUCUAAAACAUGACAUGAAUAUGAAGAUUAAGCUACACAUUGGAUUGUAGGGGAGGAUACCUGGAUUUGGCUCACUCCACUAAACCAAAAUAUCACCAGCCAUUAUUAUCUAAAAGAAAUACUGCACACAUCUCAGCUGAACACUGAUUUUUCCAAAUGCUUUACGUUUAAAAAAUAGUAAUAAUGUAGUGUUUGGAAAUAAUGUGUAAAAAUAGAGUGUGAAGCAUUAUUAGGAACAGAUUUAUAAACAGAGGCAGAGGGUAUCUACAUGAAAAAACAUGGCUAAGCUCUGCUAAUAAUCAAGUCUUUGAAACAAAAGCUCGCUGGAUCUUUAGCUCCUCCAAAGCAAGAGAUUUUGUUCAUUCAUCUUCUUAUCCCCAGGGCACAGAAAGGUAACACAUGGGAAGUCAUUGAGGAAGGUUAAAUAAAUAAAUAGGUGUUUCCACUGAAAUUAUACCCAGUAAGAUGCAUUCAAUAAGAUUCAAGUACCCAGUUAACCAUUGCUGAGAAUUACUUAUUCUGUAAAAUUUGAUGCUAUAAUUGGAUUUCCUAGGAAGUUUUGAGACUAUGUGGUGAAAUACUCUAGCAAUCUCAUGGUCCAAAGCACCAAAGACAAAAAAUCAGUCUUAGCAUUGUAGGUUGGGUAGGCAUAAUUUUAGUUUGAAGUUUAAAAUAUGAGUCUCGGCGGGGUGUGGUGGCUCAUACUUUGGGAGGCCGAGGUG
Molecule: long non-coding RNA, 1988 nt
Filed under: Homo sapiens (human)
Lineage: Eukaryota; Metazoa; Chordata; Mammalia; Primates; Hominidae
Description: HSALNT0318523
Source: RNAcentral